Molecule: long non-coding RNA, 894 nt
Organism: Nerophis ophidion (straightnose pipefish)
Lineage: Eukaryota; Metazoa; Chordata; Actinopteri; Syngnathiformes; Syngnathidae
Exons: 5
Source: RefSeq, a predicted model, not a curated record
GUAAAUAUUAUUUCUAAACUUUCAUAAUACUUUAAAAGUUAAAACAUUAAUGUUGUAGGUAUAAGUGAUGUGUUUUAAGUAUUUUUUUAUGCACAAUUUUGUUAAGUAAGGAUUAGAGCGUCGAAUGUUUGAAAUGUUUGGUCAUAAUUACACAUGGUAUUUACGCAGGUAUCACUCCGCCAGAAAAGUAGAGACCUGUGUAUGUGUUUCAUGUUUCCAACAAAGCUGAUGAGGUAUCACUCCGCCAGAAAAGUAGAGACCUGUGUAUGUGUUUCAUGUUUCCAACAAAGGUAUCACUCCGCCAGAAAAGUAGAGACCCGUGUAUGUGUUUCAUGUUUCCAACAAAGAGUCCUAUUGUGGUCCUGACAAGAAAUGGCAACAGCAAAGGAUGAAUGUUCCAUAGCAAGAAGAUAGAGAAAAAGAAGAAGAUUAUCGACUGCGGCGUAUCCUUGGACUACAAAGGCGGAAGCACGCAACUUUUUAAGACUUAUGCAGAUCCCAAAUACAGAUCAGCAGGUAAGAAAGAAAGGUUAAAUGUCGGCGACUUCACGCUGCCACACAACAACAACAUUGAGCGACGGGCAGGACCAAGUUUUGCAGACCGACCAAGUUGCUGAGGCUAGUUGCAGAAGUUUUAAUGGACCAAGUUGGAAAAGUAAAUGAAGGUAAACUGUUGUGAGCCAUGUCACUUUCUGGGGGCUAAGCUUCAAAUUAAAUUGGGGUUUUUCUUUGGAGGUCGUAUUUUUUUCCCUACAAGUUAGAAAACGCUUGAUUCUGAUCAAUUUCAUUGCUGUGCUGGGUUAUGGAGACUUUAUGUUUGUGAAUGCACCCAACAUUUAUUUUAAUGUAUGUUACUGUGCUUAAAGUUUAAUUACUGGUUGUGGCAACCUUGUC